AUUGAACGCUGGCGGCAUGCCUUACACAUGCAAGUCGAACGGCAGCACGGGAGCUUGCUCCUGGUGGCGAGUGGCGAACGGGUGAGUAACACAUCGGAACGUACCCUGAAGUGGGGGAUAACGUAGCGAAAGUUACGCUAAUACCGCAUAUUCUGUGAGCAGGAAAGAGGGGGAUCGCAAGACCUCUUGCUUUAGGAGCGGCCGAUGUCGGAUUAGCUAGUUGGUGAGGUAAAGGCUCACCAAGGCGACGAUCCGUAGCGGGUCUGAGAGGAUGAUCCGCCACACUGGGACUGAGACACGGCCCAGACUCCUACGGGAGGCAGCAGUGGGGAAUUUUGGACAAUGGGCGCAAGCCUGAUCCAGCCAUGCCGCGUGAGUGAAGAAGGCC
RNAcentral lists this ribosomal RNA (388 nucleotides) under uncultured bacterium. Its description in RNAcentral is "bacterial SSU rRNA". It matches the Rfam family "Bacterial small subunit ribosomal RNA", at positions 30 to 416 of the family's 1533-position model. The record is from RNAcentral.